GAUCAUUACCGAGUUUACAACUCCCAAACCCUUAUGUGAACCGUACCUAUCGUUGCUUCGGCGGGAACGCCCCGGCGCCCUGCGCCCGGAUCCAGGCGCCCGCCGGAGACCCCAAACUCUUGUGUUUUUUUCAGUAUUCUCUGAGUGGCAAACGCAAAAAUAAAUCAAAACUUUUAACAACGGAUCUCUUGGCUCUGGCAUCGAUGAAGAACGCAGCGAAAUGCGAUAAGUAAUGUGAAUUGCAGAAUUCAGUGAAUCAUCGAAUCUUUGAACGCACAUUGCGCCCGUUAGCAUUCUAGCGGGCAUGCCUGUCCGAGCGUCAUUUCAACCCUCAGGGUCCCCGUUCCGGCGGGGAACCUGGUGUUGGGGAUCGGCCCGCCCCGCGCGGCGCCGUCCCCCAAAUUCAGUGGCGGUCUCGCUGCAGCCUCCCCUGCGUAGUAGUUACAACCUCGCAUCGGAGCUCAGCGCGGCCACGCCGUAAAACCCCCGACUUUCUGAACGUUGACCUCGGAUCAGGUAGGAAUACCCGCUGAACCUAAGCAUAUCA
RNAcentral lists this unclassified non-coding RNA (547 nucleotides) under Stachybotrys chartarum. RNAcentral describes it as "sequence contains 18S rRNA gene, ITS1, 5.8S rRNA gene, ITS2, 28S rRNA gene". The stretch from base 169 to 322 matches the Rfam family "5.8S ribosomal RNA". The record is from RNAcentral. Lineage: Eukaryota; Fungi; Ascomycota; Sordariomycetes; Hypocreales; Stachybotryaceae.